CCCUUAGAUGUCCUGGGCCGCACGCGCGCUACACUGAUGCAUGCAACGAGUUUAUAACCUUGGCCUGAAAGGUCUGGGUAAUCUUUUGAACGUGCAUCGUGAUAGGGAUAGAUUAUUGCAAUUGUUAAUCUUGAACGAGGAAUUCCUAGUAAACGCGAGUCAUCAGCUCGCAUUGAUUACGUCCCUGCCCUUUGUACACACCGCCCGUCGACUCUACCGAUUGAAUGGUUCGGUGAAAACUUUGGACUGUGGCAUUGUCCUUCAUUGGACUUCGCCGUAGGAAAUUGUUUAAACCUCAUCAUUUAGAGGAAGAAUAAGUCGUAACA
This 326-nucleotide ribosomal RNA is filed under the name uncultured eukaryote. RNAcentral's name for it is "partial 18S ribosomal RNA". It matches the Rfam family "Eukaryotic small subunit ribosomal RNA", at positions 1470 to 1796 of the family's 1831-position model. The record is from RNAcentral.